RNAcentral lists this ribosomal RNA (507 nucleotides) under uncultured bacterium. RNAcentral's name for it is "bacterial SSU rRNA". It matches the Rfam family "Bacterial small subunit ribosomal RNA", at positions 26 to 518 of the family's 1533-position model. The record is from RNAcentral.
ACGAGGACGAACGCUGGCGGCGUGCCUAACACAUGCAAGUCGAGCGGGGACAUGCAACGGAUAGGAAGUUUCGGAUGGAAUUGAAGAUGUAUGUUCUAGCGGCGGACGGGUGAGUAACGCGUGAGCAACCUGUCCUUCACAGGGGGAUAACACAGCGAAAGUUGUACUAAUACCGCAUAAGACCACAGCGGGACAUCCCGCAGGGGUCAAAGGAGCAAUCCGGUGAAGGGUGGGCUCGCGUCCGAUUAGAUAGUUGGUGAGGUAACGGCCCACCAAGUCGACGAUCGGUAGCCGACCUGAGAGGGUGAUCGGCCACAUUGGGACUGAGACACGGCCCAAACUCCUACGGGAGGCAGCAGUGGGGAAUAUUGGGCAAUGGGGGGAACCCUGACCCAGCAACGCCGCGUGAGGGAAGAAGGUUUUCGGAUCGUAAACCUCUGUCCUUGGUGAAGAGGAAGAGACGGUAGCCAAGGAGGAAGCCCCGGCUAACUACGUGCCAGCAGCAGC